RNAcentral lists this ribosomal RNA (497 nucleotides) under uncultured bacterium. RNAcentral's name for it is "partial 16S ribosomal RNA". It matches the Rfam family "Bacterial small subunit ribosomal RNA", at positions 28 to 507 of the family's 1533-position model. The record is from RNAcentral.
GACGAACGCUGGCGGCGUGCCUAAUACAUGCAAGUUGAGCGCUGAAGGUUGGUACUUGUACCAACUGGAUGAGCAGCGAACGGGUGAGUAACGCGUGGGGAAUCUGCCUUUGAGCGGGGGACAACAUUUGGAAACGAAUGCUAAUACCGCAUAAAAACUUUAAACACAAGUUUUAAGUUUGAAAGAUGCAAUUGCAUCACUCAAAGAUGAUCCCGCGUUGUAUUAGCUAGUUGGUGAGGUAAAGGCUCACCAAGGCGAUGAUACAUAGCCGACCUGAGAGGGUGAUCGGCCACAUUGGGAAUGAGACAAGGCCCAAACUCCUACGGGAGGCAGCAGUAGGGAAUCUUCGGAAAUGGACGAAAGUCUGACCGAGCAACGCCGCGUGAGUGAAGAAGGUUUUCGGAUCGUAAAACUCUGUUGGUAGAGAAGAACGUUGGUGAGAGUGGAAAGCUCAUCAAGUGACGGUACCUACACAGAAAGGGACGGCUAACUACGUG